UUCCAGCUUGGUUAGCGCAUGCGCCUUCCGACCAGCCGCACGUCAUCACGUAUGAAGGUGCGCACGGCACGGUUCGCGCAUGCGCGAUCAAUUAAUGGCGGCCAGACCGGCGGAUUUAAAAGAAGACGAGGACCAACAGCAAUUCAGCAAGCUCCUGAGGAAGUCGACAUCGACAAAACGCGUUGAGCACCUCCAAGAUCCCUGCAGUUUUUGGUAUAGCAGUCUUUUUCUACAAGCAUUCCAUCUCAUAGUAUUUGUGCACUUUAUGCUGUUUUUGAACUACUGGCAUUUGCACUUUUGUAUUUCAGCACUUGGCACUUUACU
Non-coding RNA from Pelobates cultripes (western spadefoot toad), 324 nucleotides. Lineage: Eukaryota; Metazoa; Chordata; Amphibia; Anura; Pelobatidae. The record is from the annotation of a GenBank genome assembly.